UUUCAAAAAUGUAAUAAAUGAAGCAUCGGAGUUAUUCCUCCUCACCGACUAAAACGUUCUUGUAAGCAGAUUUCUCCAAAAUGUAGUCGAAGGGAGUGAAAUCGAAAUCUGGAACUGGUGGUGAUCUCGGUGGGGCCUGAACGACGAUGGUCCGAUCCAUAAACAGUAUGCCGUAUUCAUGCUUUGUUGCUCUGACUGAGUCAGUUGACUUACGGACCAAGAAAGAGGUGAUCGUCUUCCACUCAUUUUCAACGAAUCGGUCUCCGUAAAACGGAGCAAGGCGACGAUCAACGGUGGCCUCAAUACGGUUAUUCUUUACAUACAGAACAUGAUAGUAGACAGUUUAAUAUACAAGUUAAGCGAAUGAACGAGAAAAACACAUAAUGAUUCGACGGAAAUUACCGCGUAAUCUGCCAGGAUAAGGCCGAGUUCGAAGACGUUUGGCGAUAUAACCUUCUUGAAGACUCUCACGACAAAGACAUAAAUUCGCCACCCAGUGAUCAGAGGAGACAAUUCUGAGACCAUAUGAAACCCCUCCAUCUCACGGAUAGCAAGAACAAGCGAAUCGAAAGACAAAAAAAAAUUUUGUGAAUGAUAUAACUGUCGGCACAAGAAAUGGGUUUAGAAUGAGGAUUGUGGAUAAAAUUAAGGAAGGGAGGAGACUUAAAUAGAGGAAAUCUGGAACGGCUACAGUUAUUAAUGCGGUUCCAACUACACUUGAUUCAAAUUUUUGGUAAUAGCCUGGUAACCGUCAUAUAGGGUAAUUAUAACGUUGAUUUGACAAUAAACAGCAACAGUUACGUCAUUUCCAUUAAAUACCAACACAACCACAAUAUACCCAACCAUGUCUCCAACUCCGUUCAUUUAAGAGGGGGAAUAAGUUAGAUUUUCAAAAAACUUAUUUCAAAUUACUCAAAAUAUUGAGCAACCACCUCUAUGUACCCUUAUUACAUGAACUUUAACACGUACACAGACAAAAACGUACAUAGUUAUACGAACGUAGAGUUUAAACGUACGUACACAACGUACAUAGUUACAGGUGGAUUAUAUAUAAACUUACGUACACCGAGAAAACACAGAAGCGUACACUAUAUUGGCCGGCUCAGAAACUUGUCACCAGAACUAGAUUGGAUUUUUGCACGUCUUCUUGUUAUGACCUGCUUGUCGACAGCGUGAGCACUGAUUUGGUAAAAGUCUUUUCUGUCUCUUUUUCUGAAGUGAAGUACACAGGAAGUUAAAAAUCUCUGCAUGGUAAUACUCAAAAUACAAGUAGAUGAAUGAACGAUGUUAGUACAUACCCGGUUUUCACCUCUAGAUGGGAUCCUUUUGGACAGUGGUCUUCCUGGUGGCCGUCUACUGUAUGGAGGAAUGAGUAUCAAAUCCACUAUAUGUUGUGGGAUGACAACAUCUUUCGGAUCCGCGAUAGGUAGGAUUGGUUCUUGGAAAGAAUCAGAAAACGUUUGAAGGCCAUACCACCAUCCGACACAAGACUUCGGAUCAAUUCCAUGCUCGAUUGCAGCUGCUAGAGCGUGUUCACAUGGGAUUCUUAGCUUGGUGUACCUAAGACACGUACACGUACACUGGUCCAGAACGACAUGAAAAUGCUCACCGGAUUUACUUGUCACUUGAUAGCUCCACGGUCCAAACAUCUUCACAGCGUAUUUACCUGACGCAGGCAACUCUUGUAGAAAUCUCUCAUCAACCUCAGGUGUCACAGAAGAUUUGCACCAAGCAACUUUCUUCCUCCUCGAUGCGAACCAUCGCAUUAGGACAUCCCGAAUGAACUCGAUCAUGUAAACAAUCGGAUAAGUUUUUGCUUUUGUUAACACAUGAUUCAUGGACUCAGAGUUGUUGCUAGACAUGAUAUUGUAGUGUUUUCCUCUACAGUGAACUCUUGUCCAAUGCUCAAAUCCUAUGUCCUCUAGGUAUUUUGCGCAUUUAGCACUCUUUUCCCUUAACAGUCCAAAAUAUUUCUCGAAAUCCCUAACCCUAUAAGCUUUGGCAGCGCUAAAAAAUAAAGCAGACACACCAAACUUACCAUAAUAGGUGGAGAGGUUUCGCUCAAGGUGAACAGCACAUGCUCCAUGAUGCGCUCUCGGGUAAACAACACUUAGGCCUUUGUAUAUAGAUGAAUGUCUGUCCGAGACAAUCCUUAAAUCGUCACUGUCUGGAACAAUCUCAGCUAACUUUUCAAAAACCAUGUCCAAGAAGCAUCGGUCUCACCAUCAACAACACCAAAAGCUAUUGGGAAUAUUUGGAAGUUCCCAUCUUGGGCACAUGCAAUAAGGAGACAUCCUUUGUAAGGUCCGACUAGUUGCGUUCCAUCUACCACAAUUACCUUCCUCAUAUAUAUCAGACCUUUGAUAGAAGCGCCAAGAGAGACAAAGACAUACUUGAAGCGCUGCUUACCAUCAUCUUCUGGUGUAUAGUGUAGGUGUGUUAUUGUACCCGGAUUAGCUAAUUGGAGAAGAUACAGAUAGGUCGGCAAAAACCUGUAAUUUGCUAUCUCAUCCCCCCUUACAUUUUCCACUGCAACCUCUUUUGCUCUCCAAGCGGUAGAAUAUGAAAUCCGCACAUUCAGAUCAUUUAGGAGCAGCUGUGGUAAAUCGACAGCUUGCGGCCCACCCUGCGUAGAACUGUAUCUGCUCCUCACAACUUCUCCGAGGAGCUUAUAAUUAGCAUGUUUAUUGUAGUUCUUCCGAGAGUCGAUGUUACACGUAUGUGUCGUAGCAUACGAAGUGAUUUUGAAACUUUCUGAAUCCUUCACGAUGCGAGCAGUCAAAUGCCAUGGACAAGUCUCAUCAACGCACACCAUCUUCAAUGUUUUAGGACAUGACUUAGGUUGCUUGAAGCAAAAGCAUUGCUUUAUCGCUUGAAGAUACAUUGUUUGUUGCAGGACUUUUCUAUUCUUAAAAACACUUCCAACAAACAAAGUUUCGCCUGUUGUGCUGAUUUCAACCUGUGUCUCAUCAGCUCGAAAAUUGAGUAAGUCAUCAAACACAGGAGCAGCAUCGUUACCGAGAUUCGCCAACUCGCCACCAUGUAACUUAGGAAAUUCAUUAUACACUUGGUAAGCCUCAGCUGCGGUAACUACCCCAUUAUCAUUCAGUGUCCCAGUUGAGGAAGCUCCAAUACCGUCGAUCACUUCAUCCCCGGUGACUUCGUCUAUACAAAUAAGAUUGGAAUCCCUUUGCCCUUCGCAGCGUGUACCGUAACCCAAUGGAGAAAUUGUUUCUUCGCCAGGUACACUAAGACCAGUGUACGUACACGUUUCCAAGAGACGACUGAAUUCCCCUGUAUCUCCGCCAUGUACACUAACACCCGUGUACGUACACGUUUCCAAUAAACGACUGAAUUCCCUAGAUGUUGAGCAGUCUGUUGAGUGAGGCUGACGUCUUCCUCAAGAUUUCCUUGUACAUAUUCUUCUACUAUUACAUCGUUCCACUUGUUGUAAUCGUAUUCUUCGCCAAUACCUUCACUACCGUCUGUGGUAGGAUACAGGGUACUUCCCCCAAUAGAUCCAUCCACACAAAGAUAAUCAUCACACCCAUCAUCAUCUUCGUUGCCCUCCUCCACUUCAUCCUCUUCUGUUGUAUCGUCUUCAACAUCGGCUUGCUCCUCUGCAUCCUCAUUAUUUUCAUCAACAUUUGUAGCACUAUCAAACACACGGUCACUUUCAGAAACUUCACCAUGAGACCUAGAGACAGUAUUCCCGAACGCCUUCACUGUAUUAUUGAAAGAGACGAACAAGUUGAGAGAAAGAUACCCACCACGAACCAAAAAAAACGUUUCGAGACCCAUCUGACUGUCAAUGUAUACAGGAGGGCGUUUAGUAUCUAUCAGCACUGACAUUUCUCCCGGCAUCCAGUAGCUAAUUAUGGGAUUGAUCUCGGUGGACUUCAAACUGAAAGCCUCUCGGAGUGUACGGACAAAGUCCGUGUACGUCAUGGUUUCCUAAACGCGUACACAACGACCAAAGAUGCCUUCCUCAGGUUCAAAUUUCCAUUCUCCUUCUUUGCAUUUCCACUCACCGACCAUAGUAAAUACGGGAAUAUCCAUAACCCACCUGCAUCAUAAAUUCAGGAGACACACAUUAAAUGCAACUGAAAAAUACUAUACAUAUAAAAAACAAAUGGAAUAUCGAUACUACACAUUUAUAAACCUAAAUACCAAUUAUCAUUUGACUAUUUUAAACAAACAAAUAUAGAUUUUGCAAAUUUUCUGAUAAAAAAAUGGAGUUCGAACACAAUCAAGACCCUAAUAUGACAUAACAAAAAACUUCUUAAAAGAACUUCAUUACUUACACGAGCAAUGCUUAUUUUGGCUCCAAACUUGGUACAAAAACAAGAUCAACACUUCUUCAGCAGCAAUGUACGUUCUCAAUAAUUCUUUGUUCCUGGGUUCAUCUUCUUUAUCUCAACAAUUUUUUUAUUAAUUAUUAUCAA
RNAcentral lists this small RNA (4445 nucleotides) under Arabidopsis thaliana (thale cress). RNAcentral's name for it is "ATSL211070". The record is from RNAcentral. Lineage: Eukaryota; Viridiplantae; Streptophyta; Magnoliopsida; Brassicales; Brassicaceae.